GGGUGUGUGGUUUAGUGGUUAUAACAAUUAUGAAAUUAUCCUAGAUGAGAGGUCCGGGGUUCGAAUCCCUGCACAUCCA
Molecule: transfer RNA, 79 nt
Filed under: Metarhizium robertsii ARSEF 23
Lineage: Eukaryota; Fungi; Ascomycota; Sordariomycetes; Hypocreales; Clavicipitaceae
Description: tRNA-Sup (CTA) (tRNA-Sup-CTA-1-1, tRNA-Sup-CTA-1-2)
Rfam family: tRNA
About the family: Transfer RNA (tRNA) molecules are approximately 80 nucleotides in length. Their secondary structure includes four short double-helical elements and three loops (D, anti-codon, and T loops). Further hydrogen bonds mediate the characteristic L-shaped molecular structure. tRNAs have two regions of fundamental functional importance: the anti-codon, which is responsible for specific mRNA codon recognition, and the 3' end, to which the tRNAs corresponding amino acid is attached (by aminoacyl-tRNA synthetases). tRNAs cope with the degeneracy of the genetic code in two manners: having more than one tRNA (with a specific anti-codon) for a particular amino acid; and 'wobble' base-pairing, i.e. permitting non-standard base-pairing at the 3rd anti-codon position.
Source: RNAcentral